UUUCCGUAGGUGAACCUGCGGAAGGAUCAUUCAUAAUAAAGUGUUUGAUGGCACUUUUUAAAGAUCCAUAUCCAACUUGUGUGCAAUGUUAGAUCUCGUCAAUCUUGGCGAGAUUUUUAUACAUCAACUCAUUCUUUAACUAAUUUGUCUGAAAAAUAUGAUGAAUACUUGAUUCAAAAUACAACUUUCAACAACGGAUCUCUUGGCUCUC
This 211-nucleotide unclassified non-coding RNA is filed under the name plant metagenome. RNAcentral's name for it is "partial contains small subunit ribosomal RNA, internal transcribed spacer 1, and 5.8S ribosomal RNA". The record is from RNAcentral.